GAUGAACGCUGGCGGCGUGCCUAACACAUGCAAGUCGAACGAAGCACCUUACCUGAUUCUUCGGAUGAAAGUUUGGUGACUGAGUGGCGGACGGGUGAGUAACGCGUGGGUAACCUGCCCUGUACAUGGGGAUAACAGCUGGAAACGGCUGCUAAUACCGCAUAAGCGCACGAGGAGACAUCUCCUUGUGUGAAAAACUCCGGUGGUACAGGAUGGGCCCGCGUCUGAUUAGCUGGUUGGCAGGGUAACGGCCUACCAAGGCAACGAUCAGUAGCCGGUCUGAGAGGAUGAACGGCCACAUUGGAACUGAGACACGGUCCAAACUCCUACGGGAGGCAGCAGUGGGGAAUAUUGCACAAUGGGGGAAACCCUGAUGCAGCAACGCCGCGUGAGUGAAGAAGUAUUUCGGUAUGUAAAGCUCUAUCAGCAGGGAAGAUAAUGACGGUACCUGACGAAGAAGCUCCGGCUAAAUACGUG
RNAcentral lists this ribosomal RNA (477 nucleotides) under uncultured bacterium. Its description in RNAcentral is "partial 16S ribosomal RNA". It matches the Rfam family "Bacterial small subunit ribosomal RNA", at positions 28 to 507 of the family's 1533-position model. The record is from RNAcentral.